Molecule: long non-coding RNA, 212 nt
Organism: Mytilus trossulus (common blue mussel)
Lineage: Eukaryota; Metazoa; Mollusca; Bivalvia; Mytilida; Mytilidae
Exons: 3
Source: RefSeq, a predicted model, not a curated record
UACAGGAUAUAAUGGCAAGUUGGGAUGAGAAACUUCUUACAGCUGCAAAGGAGGGGAAUAUAAAAGAGGUAGAAAUAUGUGUAAAGAACAGAGCUAACUUGGAAUGUAGAGAUAAUUUUGAUGGAUGGACACCAUUAAUGUGGGCGGCUGUGAGAGGACACCUGGAGGUGGUGACUUACCUGGUCACUCACGGCAGUCAGUUAGACGCUACA